AUUGAACGCUGGCGGCAGGCUUAAUACAUGCAAGUCGAACGGUAACAGCAGAAAAGCUUGCUUUUUGGCUGACGAGUGGCGGACGGGUGAGUAAUACCUAGGAAACUGCCUAAACGAGGGGGAUAACAUUUGGAAACGAGUGCUAAUACCGCAUAAUACUGAGAAGUCAAAGGUUGGUUUACCAAUCGCGUUUAGAUGUGCCUAGGAGGGAUUAGCUAGUUGGUGGGGUAAAGGCCUACCAAGGCGAUGAUCUCUAGCUGGUCUGAGAGGAUGACCAGCCACACUGGAACUGAGACACGGUCCAGACUCCUACGGGAGGCAGCAGUGGGGAAUAUUGGACAAUGGGCGCAAGCCUGAUCCAGCGACGCCGCGUGAGCGAUGAAGUAUUUCGGUAUGUAAAGCUCUAUCAGCAGGGAAGAAAACGACGGUACCUGACUAAGAAGCCCCGGCUAACUACGUG
RNAcentral lists this ribosomal RNA (460 nucleotides) under uncultured bacterium. RNAcentral's name for it is "bacterial SSU rRNA". It matches the Rfam family "Bacterial small subunit ribosomal RNA", at positions 30 to 507 of the family's 1533-position model. The record is from RNAcentral.